Molecule: microRNA precursor, 86 nt
Organism: Anolis carolinensis (green anole)
Lineage: Eukaryota; Metazoa; Chordata; Lepidosauria; Squamata; Anolidae
Source: Ensembl
UAUAGCCAUCCAUGACUGAGCAGUGGUAGGAUGAUGUUUACUGUCCCAGAAUAUCAUUUUACACUGCUCUAUCAUGAAUGGUUUCU